RNAcentral lists this long non-coding RNA (944 nucleotides) under Pan troglodytes (chimpanzee). RNAcentral's name for it is "lncRNA (ENSPTRG00000054383.1)". The record is from RNAcentral. Lineage: Eukaryota; Metazoa; Chordata; Mammalia; Primates; Hominidae.
CAGACUAGAGUGCGAUAGGAUCUACAUUCUAGUCCUGGCUUUGACCCUGACCUGCUGUGACCCUGAUGUGAGAGGGCCUUCCUUCUUUUCCAGUCCUGAAGCUCCUGCAUUCCACGGUUCGCUGCUCUUUGGAGGAAGGGUGCCCAGCAAGUUCAGCAGAGGCCUCUCCUGUCCAGAGGGGUCUCACUGUCCAGGCUGUGGUUUUAUAGUGGCCAUAAAUGCAACACACAGGAGCCGCGUGGUCUGCAGCACUGAUCACCAAGGAUUGCAGGGACUCUCACCUAUGGAGAAGACAGGUGUUGGUAGGAGGUAUGCUGGGAAGAGCUUUGCUAUAUCUCCGGAAGGAAGAAGAUUGUUUCCCCUCGGGGGAUGGCACUUUCAACAUGUGGGAGCUUGUCGGGUCACAGAAGAAUGACAGGUCACGGGAAGUCCUUCAUAGUGUUUCUGUGAAUAGCAGACUGUCACAGGUUGAGUCCCUUGGAACAUAGAUGCUGAGAUUUGCAUUAAGGAAGUUCAUUGAGGGGAGGUGAUGAUCUUUUGUGAACAAUACCUGUGAGUUGCGAAGGGAACAGGAUUUGGUGGAAGAAGAAAUCGCAGCAGAGGCCUCAGGUUGACUCUUAAGAACUGUCCACAUUGAGGCAUGAGGACAGGUCUUUGUACCCCUGCAUGAACCCAUCAUUGGGUGCAAGCUCUCUCCAAGAAGAAGGAAUGGCCUUAGGUGGGCCAUCUCCCUCUGGUCCAGAAUAACUCCUGGAGCUGUGAUACGUCCAGAUGGAGGAAUGAGCACCUCAUUCCCAAAGAGGAAUCUGGGCGGCACCCACUGCAGGGGUGAAAUUAUCAGAGCCAAGAGGCUACUCUAGAUGGGUGCUACUCUAGAUGACUGUAGACUGUUACAAGUCCUCGAUAAGAUGAAGAGCUUGCAUCAAAAUUUAAAGCAACACAAU